GAUGAAGAACGUAGCGAAAUGCGAUAAGUAAUGUGAAUUGCAGAAUUCAGUGAAUCAUCGAAUCUUUGAACGCACAUUGCGCCCCCUGGUAUUCCGGGGGGCAUGCCUGUUCGAGCGUCAUUUCACCACUCAAGCCUCGCUUGGUAUUGGGCAACGCGGUCCGCCGCGUGCCUCAAAUCGACCGGCUGGGUCUUCUGUCCCCUAUGCGUUGUGGAAACUAUUCGCUAAAGGGUGCUCGGGAGGCUACGCCGUAAAACAAACCCAUUUCUAAGGUUGACCUCGGAUCAGGUAGGGAUACCCGCUGAACUUAAGCAUAUCAAUAAGCGGAGGA
RNAcentral lists this unclassified non-coding RNA (331 nucleotides) under soil metagenome. Its description in RNAcentral is "partial contains 5.8S ribosomal RNA, internal transcribed spacer 2, and large subunit ribosomal RNA". The stretch from base 1 to 120 matches the Rfam family "5.8S ribosomal RNA", at positions 35 to 154 of the family's 154-position model. The record is from RNAcentral.